Molecule: unclassified non-coding RNA, 945 nt
Filed under: soil metagenome
Description: partial contains internal transcribed spacer 1, 5.8S ribosomal RNA, and internal transcribed spacer 2
Source: RNAcentral
UAGUGAUUAAAUCGAGGCGUGUCUUCAUUGACGGCGCUCAGCACCUUCUCACCAUCCACAUACACCUGUGCAGCUGUUUAGCCUGAGGCCGGUUUUCGGGGCGGUCCAGGUUAUCAUUUCAUAGCAAAGCUCUAGUCUUAUGAAUGUAAAGCGUUUUAAUAAGCAUAAUAAAACUUUCUAACAAGCGGAUCUCUUGGUUCUGCUCAGCAUCGAUGAUUCAGCUGAAUUCUGGGCAAUUGCAGCAUUAGCUUAUCGGCAUUUCGCUGGGCGUUCUUCAUCGAUGCGAGAACCAAGAGAUCCGUUGUUGAAAGUUUUAUUAUGUUAUUAAAACGUUUAGCAUUGCAUAAGACUAGAGUUUGUAUGAAAUGAUAACCUGGACCGGAAAAGCCGGCUCAGGCUAAACAGUGGCAGCAGGUGUAUGUGGAUGGUGAGAAGGGUGAGGCGGUCAAUGAAGAGCAGCGCUCGAUUUAAUCACUAGUGAUCCUUCGCGGCAGGUUGCAGGCCUAGCGGAAACCUUGUUAGCGACUUUUAGCUUCGCUCUAAAUGACCAAGCGUACGAUUAUCUCUGUAGAGUCCUAUCUCUCUCAAGGCAACAACUAGCAGGCAGUCUGCCUUGAUGCAACCUCUCAGAUUCUCUCUCCUCUCUACCGCUCUCCUGCUUAGCUCGCUUAGGUCAUUUAGUAGUAAGUCAUUAUUAAAAGUGCGUAAGCAAGGUGUCGCGUAGGUGAAGCCUUCGGAAGGAAUCACUAGGUGAUUAAUCGAGCGUUGUCUUCAUUGAGGCCGCUGCACAGCCCUAUUCUCGACGGCGAUCCACUAUACACCUUGUGAGCACUGUUUAGCCUGAGGCACGGUUUUCGCGGUCUCAUGGUUAUGCAUUUCAUGACAAACUGCUAGACCAAAAAAAUCCUUAUGAAUUGUAAACGUUUUAAUAGAGCAUUAAUAACA